Molecule: ribosomal RNA, 253 nt
Filed under: uncultured bacterium
Lineage: Bacteria
Description: partial 16S ribosomal RNA
Rfam family: Bacterial small subunit ribosomal RNA
Source: RNAcentral
UACGUAGGGUGCAAGCGUUAAUCGGAAUUACUGGGCGUAAAGCGUGCGCAGGCGGUUUUGUAAGUCUGUUGUGAAAUCCCCGGGCUCAACCUGGGAAUGGCAAUGGAGACUGCAAGGCUAGAGUUUGGCAGAGGGGGGUAGAAUUCCACGUGUAGCAGUGAAAUGCGUAGAUAUGUGGAGGAACACCGAUGGCGAAGGCAGCCCCCUGGGUCAAAACUAACGCUCAUGCACGAAAGCGUGGGGAGCAAACAGG